RNAcentral lists this long non-coding RNA (582 nucleotides) under Homo sapiens (human). RNAcentral's name for it is "HSALNT0386310". The record is from RNAcentral. Lineage: Eukaryota; Metazoa; Chordata; Mammalia; Primates; Hominidae.
AGUGAUCCUCCUGCCUCAGCCUCCCAUGUAGCUGGGACUACAGACAUCCACAAUAAUCAUGUCCCACCCAGCCCCAAAGAAGAUGGGGCUCAGGACUGGGGGUGAGGGAUGAACAGGAUGCCACUUCACACAUGACUUGGAAAAGAAGCCCAGUCCAUAAGCUCCCUGUUCCCCUCACCACUGAGGACCCCAUGCCUGUGUAUGCAGUAGGUGCACCAUAGGUGGCUGGUGAGUAUAGGCUGUGUCACAGCUACACAAAAAGGGCAGCUACUACCAGUUAACCGUUGCUAGAGGGUGGUAGAAUAAACCCCCUAGUUUGCCAUAGUUCACAAAGGAGAGCCAAGGCCAGGCAGGAUUGCAGGAACCUUGCACCCAGACCCCCACUGCCAUGGUCCCCUCUCUGAAAUGCCCCACAAUCUGGGUUUCCUACAAUCCAACUGGAACCAAGUGCCAUAUACCCAGUGACAAAUGAGGUGCCCAGAGCCAGAAUAGUCUAGAUGAAUUUAUUGCCAUUCACAUAUUUCAUAGAAAAAAAGAUGUAGCAAACGGGUCAGGGUUGUACAAAAAAAAAAAAAAAAAAAA